This 84-nucleotide transfer RNA is filed under the name compost metagenome. RNAcentral describes it as "tRNA-Leu". It matches the Rfam family "tRNA". From Rfam's summary of the family: Transfer RNA (tRNA) molecules are approximately 80 nucleotides in length. Their secondary structure includes four short double-helical elements and three loops (D, anti-codon, and T loops). The record is from RNAcentral.
GCGAAAGUGGCGGAACUGGUAGACGCGCGAGACUUAGGAUCUCGUGGCCGCUGGCCUUGGGGGUUCGAGUCCCCCCUUUCGCAC